Molecule: ribosomal RNA, 376 nt
Filed under: uncultured organism
Description: partial 16S ribosomal RNA
Rfam family: Bacterial small subunit ribosomal RNA
Source: RNAcentral
GUAGGUGGCAAGCGUUGUCCGGGAAUUAUUGGGGCGUAAAGCGCGCGCAGGCGGUUCUUUAAGUCUGAUGUGAAAGCCCACGGGCUCAACCGUGGAGGGUCAUUGGAAACUGGAGAACUUGAGUACAGAAGAGGAAAGCGGAAUUCCACGUGUAGCGGUGAAAUGCGUAGAGAUGUGGAGGAACACCAGUGGCGAAGGCGGCUUUCUGGUCUGUAACUGACGCUGAGGCGCGAAAGCGUGGGGAGCAAACAGGAUUAGAUACCCUGGUAGUCCACGCCGUAAACGAUGAGUGCUAAGUGUUAGGGGGUUUCCGCCCCUUAGUGCUGCAGCUAACGCAUUAAGCACUCCGCCUGGGGAGUGCGACCGCAAAGGUUGA